RNAcentral lists this ribosomal RNA (489 nucleotides) under uncultured bacterium. Its description in RNAcentral is "partial 16S ribosomal RNA". It matches the Rfam family "Bacterial small subunit ribosomal RNA", at positions 30 to 507 of the family's 1533-position model. The record is from RNAcentral.
UUGAACGCUGGCGGCAGGCCUAACACAUGCAAGUCGAACGGUAACAGGAAGCAGCUUGCUGCUUUGCUGACGAGUGGCGGACGGGUGAGUAAUGUCUGGGAAACUGCCUGAUGGAGGGGGAUAACUACUGGAAACGGUAGCUAAUACCGCAUAACGUCGCAAGACCAAAGAGGGGGACCUUCGGGCCUCUUGCCAUCGGAUGUGCCCAGAUGGGAUUAGCUAGUAGGUGGGGUAAAGGCUCACCUAGGCGACGAUCCCUAGCUGGUCUGAGAGGAUGACCAGCCACACUGGAACUGAGACACGGUCCAGACUCCUACGGGAGGCAGCAGUGGGGAAUAUUGCACAAUGGGCGCAAGCCUGAUGCAGCCAUGCCGCGUGUAUGAAGAAGGCCUUCGGGUUGUAAAGUACUUUCAGCGGGGAGGAAGGGAGUAAAGUUAAUACCUUUGCUCAUUGACGUUACCCGCAGAAGAAGCACCGGCUAACUCCGUG